This 253-nucleotide ribosomal RNA is filed under the name uncultured bacterium. RNAcentral's name for it is "partial 16S ribosomal RNA". It matches the Rfam family "Bacterial small subunit ribosomal RNA", at positions 524 to 776 of the family's 1533-position model. The record is from RNAcentral.
UACGAAGGGGGCUAGCGUUGCUCGGAAUCACUGGGCGUAAAGCGCACGUAGGCGGACUCUUAAGUCGGUGGUGAAAUCCUGGAGCUCAACUCCAGAACUGCCUUCGAUACUGAGAGUCUCGAGUCCGGGAGAGGUGAGUGGAACUGCGAGUGUAGAGGUGAAAUUCGUAGAUAUUCGCAAGAACACCAGUGGCGAAGGCGGCUCACUGGCCCGGUACUGACGCUGAGGAGCGAAAGCGUGGGGAGCGAACAGG